CCUACGGGUGGCAGCAGUGAGGAAUAUUGGUCAAUGGGCGCGAGACUGAACCAGCCAAGUCGCGUGAGGGAUGACUGCCCUACGGGUUGUAAACUUCUUUUAUAAGGGAAUAAAGUGAGGCACGUGUGCCUUUUUGUAUGUACCUUAUGAAUAAGCAUCGGCUAACUCCGUGCCAGCAGCCGCGGUAAUACGGAGGAUCCGAGCGUUAUCCGGAUUUAUUGGGUUUAAAGGGUGCGUAGACGGGUUGUUAAGUCAGUUGUGAAAGUUUGCGGCUCAACCGUAAAAGUGCAAUUGAUACUGGCAGUCUUGAGGACAGGUGAGGUAGGCGGAAUGCGUGGUGUAGCGGUGAAAUGCUUAGAUAUCACGAAGAACUCCGAUUGCGAAGGCAGCUUACUAAACUGCCACUGACGUUGAUGCUCGAAAGUGUGGGUAUCAAACAGGAUUAGAUACCCGGGUAGUC
Molecule: ribosomal RNA, 460 nt
Filed under: uncultured bacterium
Lineage: Bacteria
Description: partial 16S ribosomal RNA
Rfam family: Bacterial small subunit ribosomal RNA
Source: RNAcentral